AGUCUCCCCGGGAAACAGACGAGCGCACCUGAGCUGAGUUCUGAGCUCCAGCGUUUGGGGCUAGAAGUUGCGGACUAGUAGCUGAGGCAGCACGGGAGUGUAGGCGCGCGGGGUCGUUGCCGGGGGCACAGAGUGAGAACAAGCAAGGGAGCCCUGCUGAAUUGCAGCUUAGGAAGCCCUGAAUCCUGGAGACGGAGUUUUGCUCUUGUUGCCUAGGCUGGAGAGCAAUGAUGCGAUCUCGGCUCACCGCAACCUCCGCCUCCAGGGUUCAAGCAAUUCUCCUGCCUCAGCCUCCCGAGUAGCUGGGAUUACAGCAGUGAAGGCAGUGAGGAGCUGUGGUGUGAUCCAGGAGGCUGAGAAUUAUGCAGUGGGUGCUGUCACCUUGAAGACAUCAGCGUGAUCAGGCAGAUCAUCAUGGUACUGCAUUUCCUGGACACGAUCUUAAUUUUCUUAAUACCUCCGCUGACAUUUCAAAUAGCGUCUCUAAUGCCCCAGAGACUUUUAUGCCCCUAAGGUAGUUUUCUUUCUUUUGUGAAGCAGAAGAGGGGAAAUUGUUAAAGGGAAUUAUUUUAACUAAAUUUA
RNAcentral lists this non-coding RNA (582 nucleotides) under Pan troglodytes (chimpanzee). The record is from RNAcentral. Lineage: Eukaryota; Metazoa; Chordata; Mammalia; Primates; Hominidae.